RNAcentral lists this ribosomal RNA (454 nucleotides) under uncultured organism. RNAcentral's name for it is "partial 16S ribosomal RNA". It matches the Rfam family "Bacterial small subunit ribosomal RNA", at positions 331 to 801 of the family's 1533-position model. The record is from RNAcentral.
GUACACUCCUGCGGGAGGCAGCAGUGGGGAAUCUUGCGCAAUGGGCGAAAGCCUGACGCAGCCAUGCCGCGUGAAUGAUGAAGGUCUUAGGAUUGUAAAAUUCUUUCACCGGGGACGAUAAUGACGGUACCCGGAGAAGAAGCCCCGGCUAACUUCGUGCCAGCAGCCGCGGUAAUACGAAGGGGGCUAGCGUUGCUCGGAAUUACUGGGCGUAAAGGGAGCGUAGGCGGACAUUUAAGUCAGGGGUGAAAUCCCGGGGCUCAACCUCGGAAUUGCCUUUGAUACUGGGUGUCUUGAGUAUGAGAGAGGUGUGUGGAACUCCGAGUGUAGAGGUGAAAUUCGUAGAUAUUCGGAAGAACACCAGUGGCGAAGGCGACACACUGGCUCAUUACUGACGCUGAGGCUCGAAAGCGUGGGGAGCAAACAGGAUUAGAUACCCCAGUAGUCCCAUGAU